GACGAACGCUGGCGGCGUGCCUAAUACAUGCAAGUAGAACGCUGAAGGAGGAGCUUGCUCUUCUGGAUGAGUUGCGAACGGGUGAGUAACGCGUAGGUAACCUGCCUGGUAGCGGGGGAUAACUAUUGGAAACGAUAGCUAAUACCGCAUAACAGUAGAUGUUGCAUGACAUUUACUUAAAAGGUGCAAUUGCAUCACUACCAGAUGGACCUGCGUUGUAUUAGCUAGUUGGUGGGGUAACGGCUCACCAAGGCGACGAUACAUAGCCGACCUGAGAGGGUGAUCGGCCACACUGGGACUGAGACACGGCCCAGACUCCUACGGGAGGCAGCAGUAGGGAAUCUUCGGCAAUGGACGGAAGUCUGACCGAGCAACGCCGCGUGAGUGAAGAAGGUUUUCGGAUCGUAAAGCUCUGUUGUAAGAGAUGAACGAGUGUGAGAGUGGAAAGUUCACACUGUGACGGUAUCUUACCAGAAAGGGACGGCUAACUACGUG
Molecule: ribosomal RNA, 495 nt
Filed under: uncultured bacterium
Lineage: Bacteria
Description: partial 16S ribosomal RNA
Rfam family: Bacterial small subunit ribosomal RNA
Source: RNAcentral